This 442-nucleotide ribosomal RNA is filed under the name uncultured bacterium. RNAcentral describes it as "partial 16S ribosomal RNA". It matches the Rfam family "Bacterial small subunit ribosomal RNA", at positions 338 to 795 of the family's 1533-position model. The record is from RNAcentral.
CCUACGGGAGGCAGCAGUGGGGGAUAUUGGGCAAUGGGCGCAAGCCUGACCCAGCGACGCCGCGUGAGUGAAGAAGGCUUUCGGGUUGUAAACUUCUGUUGGCAGGGAAGAGUGGAAGGCGGUACCUGACGCAUAAGCCACGGCUAACUACGUGCCAGCAGCCGCGGUAAUACGUAGGUGGCAAGCGUUGUCCGGAUUUACUGGGUGUAAAGGGCGUGUAGCCGGGUUGACAAGUCAGAUGUGAAAUGCUGCGGCUUAACCGCAGAACUGCAUUUGAAACUGUUGAGCUUGAGUACUGGAGAGGCAGAUGGAAUUCCUAGUGUAGCGGUGAAAUGCGUAGAUAUUAGGAGGAACACCAGUGGCGAAGGCGGUCUGCUGGACAGCAACUGACGGUGAGGCGCGAAAGCGUGGGGAGCAAACAGGAUUAGAUACCCCAGUAGUC